ACUGCAGCUGAACUUCUAUUUUAUGACUUGUGAUUAGGUUGGGGAUAUAUUUUUUUCCCCUAGCUUAGAAUGUUGAGACACAGAAACUGUCCCUGUUGUUAUAAGCCUAGCCUGGAUGGGAUGAUCUGAGAAAUGGAAAGCUGAGGGAAAGCAGCAGUUUAUAACCACAUGCCUUAUGUCAAGAGUAACUCUGCUGUUUCCUAUUUCUUCAGUAAGGACUCACGACUCCUGGCAGCUGCCUGGAAAGGAAGGGUUUUGUCUCAGGUACCCAAAUUCUCAUGAAGAGAGCACCCCUUCAAUCAAAGAAGAAGCACUGUGCAUUCACCAGGUCAUGUUUAAUUUGCUUCUACAUGUAUCCUGACAAAACAGGAUUGCUUCUCAGAAGCUCUUUUGAUAGCAGCCAAGAGAAAUCGAGACCACUACUAGCAUCUACAUAAGGGUGGAAAUUUGUGUUUGCCUCUUCUUCCCUACUUUUUAUGAAAUAAUGUUGGCUUUUUGGAAGCAUUUGCAAGCUCAGUAUGAAUGUCUGCAGAAGAAAGCCUACAUGUAUGCAGUCCAGUCAGCUUCUGUUUGGUAAAGGCAAAGAGUCCCCUCGCACAUAUGUCAUUCCCAACUCUAGGGGGUGGUACUCAUCUCCGUUUCAAAGCCGAAAAGCCAGCGCUGUCCGAAGACGUCUCCAUGGUCAUGUGGCCAGCAUGACUAAAUGCCAAAGGCGGAUGGAAUGUUGUUACCUUCCCACCAAAGGUGGUCCCUAUUUUUCUACUUGCAUUUUUUACGUGCUUUCAAACUACUAAGUUGGCAGAAACUGGGACAAAUAACGAGAGCUCAUCCUGUUACGCAGCACUAGGGAUUCAAACCGGUGAACUGCUGACCUUUCGAUCGACAAGCUCAGCGUCUUAGCCACUGAACCACCAUAUCCCCUUUUGGUCUGAGGAUACUCUUAAACUUUUUAUCCCCAAGGCUGAUGUUCUCUUCUUUCCUUCCUUCCAUUGAAUUUGAAUUUUGACAGUGAGAUUUUACAUGGGGAUUGGAGAUCUGCAUGCUGUCCAUGGACCUCUGCUCUGCAGACUAUAGAAAUAUGUAAAUGAUAACAGGAAAAGUUUGCCUGGAGUUUAUUACAGGCCAGAGAUUUUCAAAAGUGGAAUAUAGUGAAUGCAAAUGUACAACUAGUAUUAACAACUGUGCAUGAGAAGUAAAAGGCAAUAUGUCUGUCACUCAAGAGAGAAAUAGGAAAAGAGGACUUUGAAUUUAAAUUAGGAAAAUAAUAAAGACUGAAUUGUAUUUCCACAACUCAGUGGCUUUCAAUUGUUUGUAAUGUCUAUUUUCUAGAAUUACCA
Molecule: long non-coding RNA, 1337 nt
Organism: Pantherophis guttatus
Lineage: Eukaryota; Metazoa; Chordata; Lepidosauria; Squamata; Colubridae
Source: RefSeq, a predicted model, not a curated record